AGAGUUUGAUCAUGGCUCAGGAUGAACGCUAGCGGCAGGCUUAACACAUGCAAGUCGAGGGGGCAGCGCUGGAGUAGCAAUACUUCUGGCGGCGACCGGCGAAAGGGUGCGCAACGCGUGAGCGACGUGCCCGUCACAGGGGGAUAAUCGGCGGAAACGCCGUCUAAUAUCCCAUAACACCAUUCUCUGCAUGGGGGAUGGUUGAAAGCCACGGCGGUGACGGAUUGGCUCGCGUCCGAUUAGCCAGUUGGCGGGGCAACGGCCCACCAAAGCAGCGAUCGGUAGGGGUUCUGAGAGGAAGGUCCCCCACAAUGGAACUGAGACACGGUCCAUACUCCUACGGGAGGCAGCAGUGAGGAAUAUUGGUCAAUGGGCGGAAGCCUGAACCAGCCAUGCCGCGUGCAGGAAUAAGGCCCUAUGGGUUGUAAACUGCUUUUCCCGMRRARCAAUAAGGAUGUUUCGGACAUCCGAUGAGAGUACGCGGGGAAUAAGCAUCGGCUAACUCCGUGCCAGCAGCCGCGGUAAUACGGAGGAUGCGAGCGUUAUCCGGAUUCAUUGGGUAUAAAGGGUGCGUAGGCGGCUCUGCAAGUCAGCGGUGAAAUGUCCGGGCCCAACCCGGAAGGUGCCGUUGAUACUGUGGAGCUGGAGUACGGACGCCGGCGGAGGAAUGAGUGGUGUAGCGGUGAAAUGCAUAGAUGUCACUCAGAACACCGAUUGCGAAGGCAUCCGCCGAGACCGAAACUGACGCUGAGGCACGAAAGCGUGGAAUAGAACAGGAUUAGAUACCCUGGCAUUCCACG
This 800-nucleotide ribosomal RNA is filed under the name uncultured Bacteroidota bacterium. RNAcentral describes it as "bacterial SSU rRNA". It matches the Rfam family "Bacterial small subunit ribosomal RNA", at positions 8 to 799 of the family's 1533-position model. Lineage: Bacteria; Pseudomonadati; Bacteroidota. The record is from RNAcentral.